GCGCCAGCGAGCAGUAGUACUCAUAUACUCAUAAACUCAUAUACUCAUGCAUAUACAUGGGAUGCCCUACGAGGUGUACCCGGGUGCCCCCAGCACCCCCCGACCAAACAAAUCAAUCGACAGGAAUGGAAGCCUGCAGGCAACUGCUGACUGGCCUGCCUGGACUUGGCUUGGUUUCUUCGUUUUUCCGAAUCGAUGGGAUCGACUUCCAAAGCAAAGCGUACGCAGCGACGUGAGCAAUAUAUAACGCGGAUGAGGAAUAAGAGCAAUCCUGCAGCUAGAAAUUCCCUUUGAAGACGCGCUGACCGGGGAGAGUUUGUGCGGUGGUGGUUGGCGGAUUUGGAUUCGGAUUUGGGUGAGGUUG
RNAcentral lists this long non-coding RNA (364 nucleotides) under Volvox carteri. RNAcentral's name for it is "long non-coding RNA (VCAR_LNC001893)". Lineage: Eukaryota; Viridiplantae; Chlorophyta; Chlorophyceae; Chlamydomonadales; Volvocaceae. The record is from RNAcentral.